CCUCGGAUCAGGUAGGAAUACCCGCUGAAC
RNAcentral lists this non-coding RNA (30 nucleotides) under Mus musculus (house mouse). RNAcentral also lists the same sequence under 1 other name. The record is from RNAcentral. Lineage: Eukaryota; Metazoa; Chordata; Mammalia; Rodentia; Muridae.